UCAAAAGUAACAGCCACAAAAAUGCCCCUCUGCUCCGCUGCUGCGGCAGCAGCAACCCACCUGACUGCCGGAAAAUCAAGAUUCAGCCUCGGAACCUCAGGUCAUGCGAUCUUCUUCUCCUCCUGUUCAUCAUUUUGCAGCAAGUAUUAUAGGCAACAAUGAAGAUAUCUGAACACAUCUUUUACUUUACUUCCUCCUUCGAUUUCGGUCAGUCUCCAAGCAAUGGCUCUCAAUCAUUUGCAGCCCCAUUUUCAGCCAGUCUCCAUUCUGGAUUUUAUUCCUCCACCACCACCACCGCAACUUGUUCCUCCUGUAAAGAUGCUGCGUUCGUUUUCGUUGAACUCGAAAGGGACAGGCUGAAUUUCAUCUCCUUCCUCCAAGACUAUGCAUGUUCAGCGGGUUAAUUUGUGUGAACCUCUCUGAUUAAAAGCUGGUGUCGCUCUGAAUCUAAAUGCUGUACCCUACAGUGCUGUAAGAGGGAUGCAUGCAAUCGAGGGGUUUUUCAAUGACAGUGAGAAACCAAGUAUUGGCGUAUCAGCUAGACUUCUGCUCAUUUCUUUGGUACAGGUUACCAUAAUUUCUUGAUCUGUGUGUCUUUAGAAAAUAGUCAGAGGAGGUUUUGAUGAUUCUUCAGCCCCAAAAGUAAAAUCAACAGCCAGAACCCAGCUCCUCUGCUGUAGCUGAAACCUAGCUGAUUGCCCAAAAAUAAAUUACUCAGCCUCAGAAUCUUAGUCAUGGAACCUUCUCCUUCUCUUCCUCUUAUUGAUUUUGCUGCACGUAUUAUAGGCAACAAUGAGGAAAUCUUAACUCAUCUUUUAGUUCACCUACCCCCAAAAUCCCUCCUCCAGUUUCAGUCUGUCUCCAAGCAAUGGUUCUCAAUUAUUUUCAUCCCCUUUUAGAUGUCUGCAUUCUCGGCUUUAUCCCAGCACCACUACCCUUAUUUUCGUCCAUCAUGGGCAGGGCAAGCUUAAUUUCAUCUUCUACCACCAAGAAAAUGCAAGUCCAUUGGGUACCAUUAUAUCCGACUUGAGCAAUUUCAGUUUCUUUCAAGAUGUGUACUUGGAGAAAUUACAUCGUUGCAAUGGGUUAUUAGCUCGUCUUUGGGUCAAAACUUUAUGGUCAAAAAAAGUUUGUGUAUAACCCUACUACCCGUGAGCAUAGGCGUAUUCCAAGGCUCAAAUCUAAUGGAAAGGGACCUUCGCUUUUUUGCUUUGAACAUUGUGUUUGAUCCUGUAAAAUCUCAUCACUACAAUCUUGUCUGUGUAUGGUCAGAGGAAUGUUGCAUGGAAAGGUAUGAAUUGAGUCAAGCCCCUCUAGGGAGAUAUGGAUUUUCUAUACAUUUAUCUGAAACUGGGAUUUGGAGGGACAGUGAGGUCACAUAUGAGAGGGAGAAAGUGUAUAUUUAUUUCACGAAUGGAGUGUUAUGGAAUGGUAAUCUUCAUUAGAUAAGUGGUUGGAGGGACACUCUGUGCUUUGAUUUAGAUAAAGAAUGCCUGAAUUUGACCAUGCCAUCUCCUCAUAUGCGCCAUAGGGAUGUGUAUUUUUGGUACUUUGGAGUGUCUGGAGGCUGUUUGUAUUUUAUUGAGGUUAAUAAUCAUCAAUCUCUGUUGUUUGACAUUUUUGAGAUGAAAAGGGAAUAUUCUGAAUGGGCUUUGAAGUACCACAUAGACCUUAUCCUCUGUCGAUUUUGUAUCCUUCAAUGGUGGGCGAAGUCCUUGGUCCGUUUGAUCAGGAUCUAUGUAGAUUUUACAUGUGUUGUUUUCUUGAGGAUGAGAAAGAAAAGAAACCGAGGCUUGUGAUCUCUCUGCCGGGUAAGGUAAUUUUGUACGACAUUAAGGAUGAGGAUGCUAAGGAGCUAGUUGAAGCAGGGACCAAUGAUAUUGAUCGUGGCUGGAAUAACUAUUUUGACUGGACAGAAGCCUACCAGUUCAUGCAGAUGCUUGCUAAUGUUUGAUUCCUUCCUGUAGCAUGCUCCUACAUGUUGAAGGGGCUGGCUUGAUGUACUUAAGAUCACUCUCCCAUUUGAAUAUUUUAAGAUUUGUAAAUUUGCAUGAUAUUUUUCACAAAAUUAAAUGUGGGAUUUAAGUUAUGGUUGCAGAAUGCUGGGGAGUAUGAAUAUUGUGAAUUGCUUGAAUCUUGCAUCUUACAGGUUGCUUUCGUUUCCUUGUUUCA
Molecule: long non-coding RNA, 2172 nt
Organism: Coffea eugenioides
Lineage: Eukaryota; Viridiplantae; Streptophyta; Magnoliopsida; Gentianales; Rubiaceae
Exons: 5
Source: RefSeq, a predicted model, not a curated record